This 311-nucleotide ribosomal RNA is filed under the name uncultured bacterium. Its description in RNAcentral is "bacterial SSU rRNA". It matches the Rfam family "Bacterial small subunit ribosomal RNA", at positions 28 to 334 of the family's 1533-position model. The record is from RNAcentral.
GAUGAACGCUAGCGGUGGGCCUAACACAUGCAAGUCGAGGGGUAACGAGUUUAGCUUGCUAAAUGUCGACGACCGGCGCACGGGUGCGUAACGCGUAUACAAUCUACCUUACACAGAGGGAUAGCCCAGAGAAAUUUGGAUUAAUACCUCAUAGCAUUAUUAGUUCGCAUGAAUUUGAUAAUUAAAACUUCGGUGGUGUAAGAUGAGUAUGCGUCCCAUUAGAUAGUUGGUGAGGUAACGGCUCACCAAGUCCGCGAUGGGUAGGGGGCCUGAGAGGGUUGUCCCCACACUGGUACUGAGACACGGACCAG